Helianthus annuus (common sunflower) is the source of this 732-nucleotide long non-coding RNA. RefSeq lists it as uncharacterized. The record is from RefSeq and is a predicted model, not a curated record. The transcript has 8 exons. NCBI's taxonomy places the organism in Eukaryota, Viridiplantae, Streptophyta, Magnoliopsida, Asterales, Asteraceae.
ACUCUGGAAACCCUAGCGCCUCCUUUAACAUUCUAUGAAGAUCGAAGAGUUUCACAGUCACGAAACCCUAGCCCUCAUUAUCUUCCCUGUUUUUGAUUUAAAUGAAAACCCUAUAUCGCUCAUCCUCCUCUGCUGAUUCUCUAAUACAUCGUCCAUAUAAUCUCUAUCCUCUGAAGUUCUUAUUAUUGUGUCCCAGUUAUAAAGAUCCAGUUUCAAGAUAUGAAGCUUCAUGAAUAUUCAGUCUCAAAUCUUCAGGUAAUACUUUUUCUUCGUGAUGGAAAGCUGGUGUUUACAUUUGACCGACGUUCGUUCAGCAGCUACCGAUUGUAGACUGAUUCAACCUUCGUGAAACCCAAAAAUUUUUUGUCUCUUGAUUCCAGUUUUCACUAACGCACAUGUACUAUCAAUUUCAGGUUUUCUUUGCGGUUUACUUCCUCCAAUUCGUUCAGGCGUUUUGAGAAUAUGUCCAGUUAAUGUGUAUACGUUUGGUCCUACAUUCAGGGCAGAAAAUUCUAACACAUUUAGACAUUUAGCUGAAUUCUGGAUGAUUGAACCUGAGCUUGCAUUUGCAGACCUGAAUGAUGACAUGGCAUGUGCCACUGCCUAUCUUACUUCAUUGACCCUUGAUUAUUGGUGAAAUGGGGAUGUGAAUUGCGAAGUGAGCAUGAACUUUAUAUAACUGAGGAGGCUUUUAAUGGAUGUCCUGUCAUUAUAAUAGACUACCCUAAGGCA